GAUCAUUUGAAGACAAAAUAAGCCACCGAGGCGGCUCUUUGAUUGGAUAUGAGCCUCAUGAAUAUGUAUUUUAUCGAUAGUAUCGUUUAAGAAACCGGAUAAUAUAUUUGACCUCAUUGCGUCACUUUAAUUAUGCAGAUUUAUGCACGACGCAGGCUACUCGCACAAACUGAGAAGAUUUAGUUCAUUGAGAAUGGAUGGAAACUGAUGAAGAGCUGGAAGGAGUUAACUGAUGAGUAGACAUUACAACAUUUCUUAUAUUUUCAAGAUGAAGCUGAAAGUCCCAUGCAGGAUGAUGCUUCUCUACAGUGGAUGAUGAAAGCAUGCUGAUUACAAACCCAGGAGAGGAAUAAAGAACAGAUAUUGACAGAAUCAUAUCUAGAGAUGUGGGCCUACUGCACUUCAUACAAGCAAGUGUGCUAAUAUACCAUGUAGGUACCCCCAAUAAACUAUUGUAGAACACAUUUAUCAUGCAGAAAGUUAUAGAUCUGACAAUUAUAUUUUUCAUUGUCCAUUGACUUGUAAAAGAAUACUUGACUGAAUAUCACAAUUGUGAUUUAGAUUAAAACUAAAAUGUCAAUAUACAUGAAAUAUAAGUCUACAUAACGUAUGUUUCAAUAGCAUUAUUUCCUGUACAUUCUCUGUUCCAAGUUGUUUGGUCAUUUUAUGUAAACCGAGUAUUAUUCAUUUAUGACCACGAGUUUACAUUACAAGUACAUUGUACAUGUACCAGUAUUACUUAUUUCAUACUUGUCUGAUCCAAGCUCCAUCAGGCCUAUUGUCUUAAUGGGAUCAUCAGAAAUAAUCUAACAUGUGGUCAGUAACUAGUCU
Molecule: long non-coding RNA, 831 nt
Organism: Strongylocentrotus purpuratus (purple sea urchin)
Lineage: Eukaryota; Metazoa; Echinodermata; Echinoidea; Camarodonta; Strongylocentrotidae
Exons: 3
Source: RefSeq, a predicted model, not a curated record